UUGACCUGCCGGAAAACCCCUUCUUUUUAGUGGUUGACCUCGAAUCAGGUAGGAAUACCCGCUGAACUUAAGCAUAUCAAUAAGCGGAGGAAAAGAAACCAACAGGGAUUGCCCUAGUAACGGCGAGUGAAGCGGCAACAGCUCAAAUUUGAAAUCUGGCCCUAGGCCCGAGUUGUAAUUUGCAGAGGAUGCUUCGGGCGCGGUGCCUUCCAAGUCCCCUGGAACGGGGCGCCGGAGAGGGUGAGAGCCCCGUACGGUUGGCGGCCAAGCCUGUGUGAAGCUCCUUCGACGAGUCGAGUAGUUUGGGAAUGCUGCUCUAAGCGGGAGGUAGACCCCUUCUAAAGCUAAAUAUAGGCCAGAGACCGAUAGCGCACAAGUAGAGUGAUCGAAAGAUGAAAAGCACUUUGAAAAGAGGGUUAAAUAGCACGUGAAAUUGUUGAAAGGGAAGCGCUUGUGACCAGACGUGCGCCGGGGUGUUCAGCGGGCGUUCUCGCCCGUGCACUCGCCUCGGCGCAGGCCAGCGUCGGUUCGAGUGGGAGGAUAAAGGCGUCUGGAAUGUGGCUCCUUCGGGAGUGUUAUAGCCAGACGUGCC
This 592-nucleotide ribosomal RNA is filed under the name Chloridium humicola. RNAcentral's name for it is "eukaryotic LSU rRNA". It matches the Rfam family "Eukaryotic large subunit ribosomal RNA", at positions 1 to 570 of the family's 3401-position model. Lineage: Eukaryota; Fungi; Ascomycota; Sordariomycetes; Chaetosphaeriales; Chaetosphaeriaceae. The record is from RNAcentral.